This 164-nucleotide ribosomal RNA is filed under the name Camellia longipedicellata. RNAcentral describes it as "5.8S ribosomal RNA". It matches the Rfam family "5.8S ribosomal RNA". Rfam says of the family: 5.8S ribosomal RNA (5.8S rRNA) is a component of the large subunit of the eukaryotic ribosome. It is transcribed by RNA polymerase I as part of the 45S precursor that also contains 18S and 28S rRNA. The record is from RNAcentral. Lineage: Eukaryota; Viridiplantae; Streptophyta; Magnoliopsida; Ericales; Theaceae. RNAcentral also lists the same sequence under 1 other name.
UAAACGACUCUCGGCAACGGAUAUCUCGGCUCUCGCAUCGAUGAAGAACGUAGCGAAAUGCGAUACUUGGUGUGAAUUGCAGAAUCCCGCGAACCAUCGAGUCUUUGAACGCAAGUUGCGCCUGAAGCCAUUAGGUUGAGGGCACGUCUGCCUGGGCGUCUCGC